Molecule: long non-coding RNA, 1402 nt
Filed under: Oncorhynchus kisutch (coho salmon)
Lineage: Eukaryota; Metazoa; Chordata; Actinopteri; Salmoniformes; Salmonidae
Description: lncRNA (ENSOKIG00005024137.1)
Source: RNAcentral
AUGUGUGGCCAAUCGAUGCCUCCCGUCAAAGGUGAACCAGAGCAUCAAUUAAAAAGCAUGGGACACAUAUAUUUUUUUUUUUUUGCAAUUUCCCCACUGAAUUACGUGGUGGUAAGAGCUGAAAGAGUGUUGAGUUAUAUCGAGCCCGGAGCUCUCCUGUCACACUGCGGGAGUCCCAACUCUGAGGCACCGUCUGUCAUAAUACAGUCCAGUUGUGCGAUGUAUGGAGAAUAGGGUGCCAAUAUAGGACACAGUAUCCCCUAUAUAGACAUAGGGUCCAUUUUGGACACAGGGCCAGUCUUCUCUAAACCACUUGUCUAGUCACAAUGUGGGAAAUCACAAGAAACCUAUGACAAUGGGGUAUGACAUUGAUCAACUUGGAAUGCCAUUGUGGUGAAUACGCUCCUAAGGACUUGAUAGAAUAUGGUAGCUAGAUAUAACCGACUGGCUUGAUAUCUGGACGGAGGCAGUGAGACAGACACAACAUGGACGGAUUGGAGGUAUGGACGGCGUUAAAAGGGCAGUGAACUGAAGCAGCUCGGUGGCCCAGCCUGGAUAGAGACAGUAGACUGAAACGGAACACGGCUGCUCUGGAGAUACCAAAGACAUCGGGGCGAAUCCUAACUUCCACUAAAGUCUAUGUUUAGGUUAGUGAUGCAUUGAUGUCAAUGGGAGAGAACGUGAACAUUUACUCACGUGGAAGUUGGCCCCAUGGAGCCUAAGUAACUGAUGGUAAGCAAUGAAGAGCAGAGUGAUAACCGUACUCUGAUGAAGAGAUAAUGAGAAGACUAACACACUGACUGAAACACUGUGUGUGUGUGUGUGUGUGGUGUGUGUGUAAUACUCAGAAAUGUCUGGCAAUAGUGAGUAUGUGUGUGUGUCAGCGAAUGUAGUAGAGCCAAUGACCCUCUCUGGCUGGUUUGUUCUGACACAUAGACUAGCGAGCUAGAUCUUUAACUGCAGCUCCCUAAAACGCAGUGAGAAUCACUGUACAUGUUUAGCAGGCAUCUUGCCCGGCCAUUGUGCUACAACUAGCGUAGAAUAAAAGAGGAGUUCAGUCAGUCUUGAUACUGCCAUUUCAGUGAUGACCUCAUCGAUAUCGCUCUUACCCCAUUGAGGGAAACCUCUCCUCACUUCAAUGUUUUGUCUUUCUUGAAUCUCUGGUAGCAAUUUGGAGCGUAUACAGUUCUGUUGUGUGCUUUUUUUUGGUCAUUUCUAUUUGUCACCUAAUUUUCCUUGUAUGUCAUUGCUAUUGAAUCUUAGACGGUGACAAUAUGUGUAGCGCGUUUUGUGAUCAAAGGUGAGUGCGGUCAGAUUCCUACGGUUAAUCAAUGGUUUCUUCUUUAGUCUGUCUCUUAAAGUAGCAGCUGUAAGAGUGGUCUAUGAUGUAGAGCACAUCGUU